RNAcentral lists this transfer RNA (78 nucleotides) under Candidatus Bathyarchaeota archaeon. RNAcentral describes it as "tRNA-Arg". It matches the Rfam family "tRNA". Rfam says of the family: Transfer RNA (tRNA) molecules are approximately 80 nucleotides in length. The record is from RNAcentral. Lineage: Archaea; Thermoproteati; Candidatus Bathyarchaeota.
GGGCCCGUAGCCUAGCAUGGAUAGGGCGUCGGCCUCCGGAGCCGAAGGCCGUGGGUUCGAAUCCCACCGGGCCCGCCA